RNAcentral lists this ribosomal RNA (305 nucleotides) under uncultured bacterium. RNAcentral describes it as "partial 16S ribosomal RNA". It matches the Rfam family "Bacterial small subunit ribosomal RNA", at positions 505 to 807 of the family's 1533-position model. The record is from RNAcentral.
ACAGCAGUAGCCACGGUAAUACGGAGGGGGCUAGCGUUGUUCGGAAUUACUGGGCGUAAAGCGCACGUAGGCUGCUUUGUAAGUUAGAGGUGAAAGCCUGGUGCUCAACACCAGAACUGCCUUUAAGACUGCAGAGCUAGAACGUCGGAGAGGUGAGUGGAAUUCCGAGUGUAGAGGUGAAAUUCGUAGAUAUUCGGAAGAACACCAGUGGCGAAGGCGGCUCACUGGACGACUGUUGACGCUGAGGUGCGAAAGCGUGGGGAGCAAACAGGAUUAGAUACCCCGGUAGUCCCUGUCUCUUAUAC